GAUGAACGCUGGCGGCGUGCCUAACACAUGCAAGUCGAGCGAUUCUCUUCGGAGAAGAGCGGCGGACGGGUGAGUAACGCGUGGGUAACCUGCCCUGUACACACGGAUAACAUACCCGAAAGGUAUGCUAAUACGAGAUAAUAUACUUUUAUCGCAUGGUAGAAGUAUCAAAGCUCCGGCGGUACAGGAUGGACCCGCGUCUGAUUAGCUAGUUGGUAAGGUAACGGCUUACCAAGGCGACGAUCAGUAGCCGACCUGAGAGGGUGAUCGGCCACAUUGGAACUGAGACACGGUCCAAACUCCUACGGGAGGCAGCAGUGGGGAAUAUUGCACAAUGGGCGAAAGCCUGAUGCAGCAACGCCGCGUGAGCGAUGAAGGCCUUCGGUCGUAAAGCUACUGUCCUCAAGAGAUAUGAGGUACUUGAGGUAGGAAGCCCCGGCUAACGUACGUGCCGAGCAGCCGCGGUAA
RNAcentral lists this ribosomal RNA (468 nucleotides) under uncultured bacterium. Its description in RNAcentral is "bacterial SSU rRNA". It matches the Rfam family "Bacterial small subunit ribosomal RNA", at positions 28 to 523 of the family's 1533-position model. The record is from RNAcentral.